GUAGGGAAUUUUCGGCAAUGGGGGAAACCCUGACCGAGCAACGCCGCGUGAAGGAAGAAGUAAUUCGUUAUGUAAACUUCUGUCAUAGAGGAAGAACGGUGGAUAUAGGGAAUGAUAUCCAAGUGACGGUA
Molecule: ribosomal RNA, 131 nt
Filed under: uncultured bacterium
Lineage: Bacteria
Description: partial 16S rRNA
Rfam family: Bacterial small subunit ribosomal RNA
Source: RNAcentral